Molecule: ribosomal RNA, 414 nt
Filed under: Tamlana sp. con14
Lineage: Bacteria; Pseudomonadati; Bacteroidota; Flavobacteriia; Flavobacteriales; Flavobacteriaceae
Description: bacterial SSU rRNA
Rfam family: Bacterial small subunit ribosomal RNA
Source: RNAcentral
CCUUUUGCUACUGGAUAGCCCAGAGAAAUUUGGAUUAACACAGUAUAGUAUCAUAUUACUGCAUGGUAUUUAUGAUUAAAGGCUACGGCAAAAGAUGAGCAUGCGUCCUAUUAGCUAGUUGGUGUGGUAACGGCAUACCAAGGCAACGAUAGGUAGGGGCCCUGAGAGGGGGAUCCCCCACACUGGUACUGAGACACGGACCAGACUCCUACGGGAGGCAGCAGUGAGGAAUAUUGGACAAUGGAGGCAACUCUGAUCCAGCCAUGCCGCGUGCAGGAUGACUGCCCUAUGGGUUGUAAACUGCUUUUAUACAGGAAGAAACCGCUCUACGUGUAGAGCUCUGACGGUACUGUAAGAAUAAGGAUCGGCUAACUCCGUGCCAGCAGCCGCGGUAAUACGGAGGGAUCCAAGCGU